UAUUUCAGUGGGCAUCUUCAUUUUCAUUUACUUAACCCUAAACAACUCAGGAAAUACCGAAAUCUAUUCAACCAAGUCGAUCAAUUCUGCGGCUCAAAGCUCUGCACAGCACAACAGAAUGGCUGAAGAUCUGACAAAUCAAUAUGUUUAUGAGCACCACAUGCUAAAGAAUCGCCUACAAGAGUAUACCCAACGAUCAUCCCUAGAUUUUCCUAUUUAUCAGACUUUUAAUUUAGGCUCACCCAACGAUCAUCCCUAGAUUUUCCUAUUUAUCAGACUUUCAAUUUAGGCUCUUCGCAUGCACCCCUCUUUAGAUCAAGUGUUUUCGUUGAUGGGCGUUGGUAUACCUCUCCUGGCAUAUUUUCACAUCUAAAGACUGCAGAGAAGGAAGCUGCGAGAGUUUCCUUGAUUAGCAUGAAAGAGAAUAUGAAACGUGACAGAUGACCUCUCAUUCCUGAGGAUACUGUGUUUUGCAAGUCCAUCAUGAAUGAGUAUGUCGUAAAAAUGAACCUAAAGAAACCUACUUAUCAGACUGUUCAAUUUGGGGUGGUGCCUGCUGUUUUCAAAUCUAUAUCGGUCUUCAAUGGUAUUCAUUAUAGGGGAGAAACUGGGAAAAACAAGAAAGAAGUUGAACAGCUAGCAGCUCGAGCAGCGGUUAUGUCUA
Long non-coding RNA from Lycium ferocissimum, 664 nucleotides. RefSeq lists it as uncharacterized. The transcript has 3 exons. The record is from RefSeq and is a predicted model, not a curated record. Lineage: Eukaryota; Viridiplantae; Streptophyta; Magnoliopsida; Solanales; Solanaceae.